UUCUAAUAUGGCAGAUUAGUGCAAUGAAUUUAAGAUUCAUAUAUAAAUUAUAAUAUUUUAUUAGAA
Molecule: transfer RNA, 66 nt
Filed under: Evacanthus acuminatus
Lineage: Eukaryota; Metazoa; Arthropoda; Insecta; Hemiptera; Cicadellidae
Description: tRNA-Leu
Source: RNAcentral